Apis cerana (Asiatic honeybee) is the source of this 1412-nucleotide long non-coding RNA. RefSeq lists it as uncharacterized. The record is from RefSeq and is a predicted model, not a curated record. NCBI's taxonomy places the organism in Eukaryota, Metazoa, Arthropoda, Insecta, Hymenoptera, Apidae.
GUUUCUCGAUUCGGGAAAAUAUCGUUUCACCAAUUUCGCGAAUAAUCAGUCGAAAAUUUACUCCCGAUUUAACUAUUCGCGGUUCAUUCGUAAUUGGAUCCGAUUUACGACAGAUGUCGCUAAUUACCGAAACACGAUACACACGAGAGGCUCAGACGGCCAUUGUUGCCCAAUGAUAAUCGAAGCAACGUGUCGCGAAAUGAAACGAGUCGAUAGAGAUAUUUCGUUGUGUUGUGUUUUCCAUUUUAAUUCGAUUGAAUAGCUACGGUUUCCUACGAUACGAUUGAUUCUGAAAUUAAAGUUUUUGAAAGUUUUCUUCGAGAGUAUAUUCUAGUGUAUUAUCUAGUGCCAAAUAUAUAAUAUCUUAAUAGUGACGAAAAGUGAGGUUAUGAUAUAUAUAGUUAUAAACGAAUAUAAAGAAAGAAGACAAGAAAAUGACAAAUGAAAGCAUUGCAUCACUGCUCGAAAAAAAAAAAGAUUGGAAAACAGAACUGGUUCAUUUCAUACUAUUUUCGAUUCACUUUGUCAAUUAGAUUUACAACUCUUCCUUUGUAUUUAUUCCCAACGUUAUUCAAUCGAAGUUUAUACAGACUGAAUUGCACACUGCGCUGUUAUAUUCUCUAUUCCAUAUGAUACCUCGAUUUGAUUCGUUUCACGAGAAUUGUUGGCUCGAUAUAUCCGCUCUGGAAUCUGGAAGAAGAAUUCGCGUAUAGAUACGUUCGAUAUAGAUCGAACAGACAUCAAAGGGGGAAAGUGAAUUAUUCUUGGGAAUACGAGAGAAUAUCGCGAAUUCUCGUUCGAUUCGGUUCAACCACAGUUUCGGUUGGCUGGUGCGCAUGCUCGAACCAUUUGCUUUACAACAAGGAAGGAAGGAAGGAAGGAAGAAGGAAAGGGAUUCUCGCGCGAAUAUCAACGAAAGAUCGGAAUUGGCUAUUAAAAGUUCGCGAUAACUUUUCGAAGCGGAUAGGCAAGAAAGCUCCCUUCUGUAUCGGGAAUCUGUUUUCACGUGCAUACCCAGUGUCCCAAAAAUUUUUUCUUUUCUUUCUUUCUUUCUUUCUUUGUUUCUUUUUUUAUCGAGAAUAUAAAAAUUAAAAUUAGCAAGAUAGAUUAAGGCGUAAAAUAACUUAAUGUUUUAACGGUAUCAUUAAACGAAUUAAUGAUACACGAGUUUAAAUUUGGAUGAAGAGUAUGCAAUUUUGGUACAGGUAAUAUUAAGUUAUUUAUAUUUUGUAUAAUUUAAGCGAGUUAAGUAAUUUAACUUAAAAGUUACGAGAUCAAUCUACGUAAUCAUUAAUCACGAUAUCAGAUUUUGAAGAUUGAAAAUUGUUGAUUAAACUUAAAUUGUUGUGUGUAUUCUAUAUUUAAAUUUAUCAGAAGGGAAUAAAUUUUCUUUGUUCUGAGUUUAAAUUUAA